CGCUGGCGGCAUGCUUUACACAUGCAAGUCGAACGGCAGCGCGGACUUCGGUCUGGCGGCGAGUGGCGAACGGGUGAGUAAUAUAUCGGAACGUACCCAAGAGUGGGGGAUAACGUAGCGAAAGUUACGCUAAUACCGCAUACGAUCUAAGGAUGAAAGUGGGGGAUCGCAAGACCUCAUGCUCCUGGAGCAGCCGAUAUCUGAUUAGCUAGUUGGUGAGGUAAAGGCUCACCAAGGCGACGAUCAGUAGCUGGUCUGAGAGGACGACCAGCCACACUGGAACUGAGACACGGUCCAGACUCCUACGGGAGGCAGCAGUGGGGAAUUUUGGACAAUGGGCGCAAGCCUGAUCCAGCAAUGCCGCGUGAGUGAAGAAGGCCUUCGGGUUGUAAAGCUCUUUUGUCAGGGAAGAAACGGUAGGAGCUAAUAUCUCUUGCUAAUGACGGUACCUGAAGAAUAAGCACCGGCU
Molecule: ribosomal RNA, 469 nt
Filed under: uncultured bacterium
Lineage: Bacteria
Description: bacterial SSU rRNA
Rfam family: Bacterial small subunit ribosomal RNA
Source: RNAcentral